CCUACGGGAGGCAGCAGUGGGGGAUAUUGCACAAUGGGGGGAACCCUGAUGCAGCGACGCCGCGUGGGUGAAGAAGCGCCUCGGCGCGUAAAGCCCUGUCAGCAGGGAAGAAAAUGACGGUACCUGGGGAGGAAGCUCCGGCUAACUACGUGCCAGCAGACGCGGUAAUACGUAGGGAGCGAGCGUUGUCCGGAAUUACUGGGUGUAAAGGGAGCGUAGGCGGGACUGCAAGUUGGGUGUAAAAUCUACCGGCACAACCGGUAGCCGCACUCAAAACUGCAGUUCUUGAGUGAAGUAGAGGCAGGCGGAAUUCCGAGUGUAGCGGUGAAAUGCGUAGAUAUUAGGAGGAACACCAGUGGCGAAGGCGGCCUGCUGGGCUUUUACUGACGCUGAGGCUCGAAAGUGUGGGGAGCAAACAGGAUUAGAUACCCCGGUAGUG
Molecule: ribosomal RNA, 439 nt
Filed under: uncultured bacterium
Lineage: Bacteria
Description: partial 16S ribosomal RNA
Rfam family: Bacterial small subunit ribosomal RNA
Source: RNAcentral